AGUGAACGCUGGCGGUAGGCCUAACACAUGCAAGUCGAACGGCAGCACAGUAAGAGCUUGCUCUUACGGGUGGCGAGUGGCGGACGGGUGAGGAAUACAUCGGAAUCUACUUUUUCGUGGGGGAUAACGUAGGGAAACUUACGCUAAUACCGCAUACGACCUACGGGUGAAAGCAGGGGAUCUUCGGACCUUGCGCGAUUGAAUGAGCCGAUGUCGGAUUAGCUAGUUGGCGGGGUAAAGGCCCACCAAGGCGACGAUCCGUAGCUGGUCUGAGGGGAUGAUCAGCCACACUGGAACUGAGACACGGUCCAGACUCCUACGGGAGGCAGCAGUGGGGAAUAUUGGACAAUGGGCGCAAGCCUGAUCCAGCCAUACCGCGUGGGUGAAGAAGGCCUUCGGGUUGUAAAGCCCUUUUGUUGGGAAAGAAAAGCAGCAGGUUAAUACCCCGCUGUUCUGACGGUACCCAAAGAAUAAGCACCGGCUAGCUUCGUG
This 492-nucleotide ribosomal RNA is filed under the name uncultured bacterium. Its description in RNAcentral is "partial 16S ribosomal RNA". It matches the Rfam family "Bacterial small subunit ribosomal RNA", at positions 29 to 507 of the family's 1533-position model. The record is from RNAcentral.